This 253-nucleotide ribosomal RNA is filed under the name uncultured bacterium. Its description in RNAcentral is "partial 16S ribosomal RNA". It matches the Rfam family "Bacterial small subunit ribosomal RNA", at positions 524 to 776 of the family's 1533-position model. The record is from RNAcentral.
UACGAAGGGGGCUAGCGUUGCUCGGAAUGACUGGGCGUAAAGGGCGCGUAGGCGGAUGGCACAGUCAGAUGUGAAAUUCCCGGGCUUAACCUGGGGGCUGCAUUUGAUACGUGUGAUCUAGAGUGAGGAAGAGGGUCGUGGAAUUCCCAGUGUAGAGGUGAAAUUCGUAGAUAUUGGGGAGAACACCGGUGGCGAAGGCGGCGACCUGGUCCUUGACUGACGCUGAGGCGCGAAAGCGUGGGGAGCAAACAGG